GAUGAACGCUGGCGGCGUGCCUAAUACAUGCAAGUCGAGCGAACAGACGAGGAGCUUGCUCCUCUGACGUUAGCGGCGGACGGGUGAGUAACACGUGGAUAACCUACCUAUAAGACUGGGAUAACUUCGGGAAACCGGAGCUAAUACCGGAUAAUAUAUUGAAUCGCAUGGUUCAAUAGUGAAAGACGGUUUUGCUGUCACUUAUAGAUGGAUCCGCGCCGCAUUAGCUAGUUGGUAAGGUAACGGCUUACCAAGGCAACGAUGCGUAGCCGACCUGAGAGGGUGAUCGGCCACACUGGAACUGAGACACGGUCCAGACUCCUACGGGAGGCAGCAGUAGGGAAUCUUCCGCAAAGGGCGAAAGCCUGACGGAGCAACGCCGCGUGAGUGAUGAAGGUCUUCGGAUCGUAAAACUCUGUUAUUAGGGAAGAACAAAUGUGUAAGUAACUAUGCACGUCUUGACGGUACCUAAUCAGAAAGCCACGGCUAACUACGUG
RNAcentral lists this ribosomal RNA (497 nucleotides) under uncultured bacterium. RNAcentral's name for it is "partial 16S ribosomal RNA". It matches the Rfam family "Bacterial small subunit ribosomal RNA", at positions 28 to 507 of the family's 1533-position model. The record is from RNAcentral.